AACGAACGCUGGCGGCAUGCCUAACACAUGCAAGUCGAACGAGACCUUCGGGGCUUGUGGCGUACGGGUGCGUAACGCGUGGGAACCUGCCCUUAGGUUCGGAAUAACUCCCCGAAAGGGGUGCUAAGACCGGGUAAUCUCUUCGGACCUAAGACUUCUCGCCUUUGGAUGGGCCCGCGUUGGAUUAGCUAGUUGGUAGGGUAAAAGCCUACCAAGGCGACGAUCCAUAGCUGGUCUGAGAGGAUGAUCAGCCACACUGGGACUGAGACACGGCCCAGACUCCUACGGGAGGCAGCAGUGGGGAAUAUUGGACAAUGGGCGAAAGCCUGAUCCAGCAAUGCCGCGUGAGUGAUGAAGGCCUUAGGGUUGUAAAGCUCUUUUACCCGGGAUGAUAAUGACAGUACCGGGAAAAUAAGCUCCGGCUAACUCCGUG
Molecule: ribosomal RNA, 433 nt
Filed under: uncultured bacterium
Lineage: Bacteria
Description: partial 16S ribosomal RNA
Rfam family: Bacterial small subunit ribosomal RNA
Source: RNAcentral